Lycium barbarum (goji berry) is the source of this 1012-nucleotide long non-coding RNA. RefSeq lists it as uncharacterized. NCBI's taxonomy places the organism in Eukaryota, Viridiplantae, Streptophyta, Magnoliopsida, Solanales, Solanaceae. The record is from RefSeq and is a predicted model, not a curated record. The transcript has 3 exons.
UCUGACUUCUAGGGGCAAAAACGGUAUUAUAAGUUUGGAAUUUGGAAAAUACCAAGAAAUAGAAGUUGUAGAUAAUUGAAUUAGCUUUCCAACCAUAGGUCGUGGGUUCCCAGGUGACAUCGGUACAAGGAGAUAUGGACGUUUUAAGGUCGAAAGGUCAGUGGGCUAGGCCCAACUCGGGAUCAACCGAGUUGGCCCAAAAAAAUAAAAAACGAAUUAAGGCCCAAAGGAGAGGGGUGGCCGGCCAUCUUAUGGCCCAAGCCCACAAAAUUAAUAAAUUUCCCAUGUGAUAAUUAAUAUAAAGGAUCAUUAAAUUGUCUUGAAACAUUUAGAAGUUUCAAGACAAUUGAGAAAGAGAGAAACAAGAGAAAGAAGAGCAAGAAUAAGAAGGCCAUUUUCGGCCAAGCUCUAGACCAAAAAAAAAAAAAUUUUUUUUUUUUCAAAAAUCAUUUUCUACCAAUUAAAGGGUCCUUUACAACUUGGUGUAAUUAUUUUGGAAGAAAGAACACUUGUUUCUUCAAGUUGACAACUUGGUCAAGUGAAGAAGAUUGUAGAAAAAGAUUUUGGCGAACUUGAAACUUGAUUUUGGAGACGUGUAUGAAUCGGAAAAGGUCAACAGGUAGACAGAUUUGACUCUUAGAAGCUCCAUCAGCAGUACUGUGGCAGCGCUCCAGUUGUUCCGGAGCCUCAGUUUCUUGGUACUACUUUUGUGUACAUAUUCGGGCACGGUAGAACCGGUCCUUCUUGUAUAUGUAGAUGUACUUUGUUUAGAGGCUCGUAGACAGAUAUGUACAGUCAGAUGUUUUGUACUUUUGUGGUCCUCGUCGUUGUAUAAUGUGCUAGCAAAGUUUAUAAGUCCAUGUCUACAAUUAUGCCAUUAAUGUUAGCGUUAAGCAACAGAAAAAAAAAAGAUACGGUAUAGUCUAUACGGCCCACCUAGUAGUAAAAGUACGAUACGAGAUAAGGGGUGCUCGGUACAAGUAUCGGGUACCCGUCGCGGCCCCUAGUUGGG